This 1082-nucleotide non-coding RNA is filed under the name Ruminococcus sp. CAG:57. Its description in RNAcentral is "Bacterial large subunit ribosomal RNA". It matches the Rfam family "Bacterial large subunit ribosomal RNA", at positions 1 to 1091 of the family's 2925-position model. Lineage: Bacteria; Bacillati; Bacillota; Clostridia; Eubacteriales; Oscillospiraceae. The record is from Rfam by way of RNAcentral.
GGUUAAGCUAAGAAGAGCGUAGGGAGAAUGCCUUGGCAUUAGGAGCCGAUGAAGGACGUGAUAAGCUGCGAUAAGCUGCGGGGAUCAGCAAGUAUGAAUUGAUCCGCAGAUUUCCGAAUGGAGCAAUCCGUAUGUGUAUGCACAUACAUCAUAUACUGAAUCAAAUAGGUAUAUGAGGGGAACCGCCUGAACUGAAACAUCUAAGUAGGGCGAGGAAGAGAAAUCAACCGAGAUUCUGUGAGUAGUGGCGAGCGAAAGCGGAAGAGGCUAAACCAUAGGUAGCAAUACUUAUGGGGUUUCGGACAGCAUUUAGCAUUGAUAAUUUCUAGUUGAAACGUGUGGGAAAACGUACCGAGGAGUGUGAGAGUCACGUAAGCGAAAGAGAAAGUCAGCGAGCUGUAUCCAAAGUACCGCGGGACACGUGAAACCCCGUGGGAAGAUGGGGGGACCAUCCUCCAAGCCUAAAUACUACCUAAUGACCGAUAGCGAAUAGUACUGUGAAGGAACGGUGAAAAGAACCCCGGGAGGGGAGUGAAAAAGAACCUGAAACCCUAUGCUUACAAGCACCGAGAGCACGUCAAAGUGUGAUCGGGUACCUUUUGUAGAAUGGUCCGGCGAGUUAUUGUAUGCGGCAAGGUUAAGUGCUUAAGGCACGGAGCCGAAGCGAGAGCAAGUCUGAAUAGGGCGAAAGAGUCGUAUGCAAUAGACCCGAAACCGAGUGACCUAUCCAUGUCCAGGCUGAAGUGGAGGUAAAACUCCAUGGAGGGCCGAACACACGUCCGUUGAAAAGGCCGGUGAUGAGGUGUGGAUAGCGGAGAAAUUCCAAUCGAACUCGGAUAUAGCUGGUUCUCUCCGAAAUAGCUUUAGGGCUAGCCUCGUGAAAGAUUACUGGAGGUAAAGCACUGAAUGGGCUAGGGGUCGAAAGAUUACUGAACCCUAUCAAACUAAGAAUGCCAGAUAAUUGAUUCACGGGAGUCAGACAAUGUGAGAUAAGUCUCAUUGUCAAAAGGGAAACAGCCCAGACCCACAGCUAAGGUCCCUAAACAUUGUUAAGUGGAAAAGGAUGUGGGGUUGCAUAAACA